GAUGAACGCUGGCGGCGUGCCUAAUACAUGCAAGUCGAGCGAACGGACGAGAAGCUUGCUUCUCUGAUGUUAGCGGCGGACGGGUGAGUAACACGUGGAUAACCUACCUAUAAGACUGGGAUAACUUCGGGAAACCGGAGCUAAUACCGGAUGAUAUUUUGAACCGCAUGGUUCAAAAGUGAAAGACGGUCUUGCUGUCACUUAUAGAUGGAUCCGCGCUGCAUUAGCUAGUUGGUAAGGUAACGGCUUACCAAGGCAACGAUGCAUAGCCGACCUGAGAGGGUGAUCAGCCACACUGGAACUGAGACACGGUCCAGACUCCUACGGGAGGCAGCAGUGGGGAAUCUUGCACAAUGGGCGAAAGCCUGACGGAGCAACGCCGCGUGAGUGAUGAAGGUCUUCGGAUCGUAAAGCUCUGUUAUUAGGGAAGAACAGAUGUGUAAGUAACUGUGCACAUCUUGACGGUACCUAAUCAGAAAGCCACGGCUAACUACGUG
RNAcentral lists this ribosomal RNA (497 nucleotides) under uncultured bacterium. RNAcentral describes it as "partial 16S ribosomal RNA". It matches the Rfam family "Bacterial small subunit ribosomal RNA", at positions 28 to 507 of the family's 1533-position model. The record is from RNAcentral.